Molecule: ribosomal RNA, 541 nt
Filed under: uncultured bacterium
Lineage: Bacteria
Description: bacterial SSU rRNA
Rfam family: Bacterial small subunit ribosomal RNA
Source: RNAcentral
AAUAGAUACCCGGGUAGUCCACCCCGUAAACGUUGGGAACUAGUUGUGGGGUCCUUUCCACGGAUUCCGUGACGCAGCUAACGCAUUAAGUUCCCCGCCUGGGGAGUACGGCCGCAAGGCUAAAACUCAAAGGAAUUGACGGGGACCCGCACAAGCGGCGGAGCAUGCGGAUUAACUCGAUGCAACGCGAAGAACCUUACCAAGGCUUGACAUACACCAGAACACCCUAGAAAUAGGGGACUCUUUGGACACUGGUGAACAGGUGGUGCAUGGUUGUCGUCAGCUCGUGUCGUGAGAUGUUGGGUUAAGUCCCGCAACGAGCGCAACCCUCGUUCUAUGUUGCCAGCACGUAAUGGUGGGAACUCAUGGGAUACUGCCGGGGUCAACUCGGAGGAAGGUGGGGAUGACGUCAAAUCAUCAUGCCCCUUAUGUCUUGGGCUUCACGCAUGCUACAAUGGCCGGUACAAAGGGCUGCAAUACCGUGAGGUGGAGCGAAUCCAAAAGCCGGUCCAGUUCGGAUUGAGGUCUGCACUCGACCUCA